GAUGAAGAACGUAGCGAAAUGCGAUACGUAAUGUGAAUUGCAGAAUUCAGUGAAUCAUCGAAUCUUUGAACGCAUAUUGCGCUCUCUGGUAUUCCGGAGAGCAUGCUUGUUUGAGUAUCAGUAAACACCUCAACUUCCAUAUCUUUUUUGAAAUGGGAGUUGGACUUGAGUGAUCCCAACGCUUUUCCUCACCGAAAAGUGGCGGGUUACUUGAAAUGCAGGUGCAGCUGGACUUUUCUCUGAGCUAUAAGCAUAUCUAUUUAGUCUGCCUAAAAACAGAUUAUUACCUUUGCUGCAGCUAACAUAAAGGAGAUUAGUUCUUGUGCUGACUGAUGCAGGAUUCACAAAGACAGGCUUCGGCCGACUUUGUAAACUCGAUCUCAAAUCAAGUAAGACUGCCCGCUGAACUUAAGCAUAUCAAUAAGCGGAGGA
This 432-nucleotide unclassified non-coding RNA is filed under the name soil metagenome. RNAcentral's name for it is "partial contains 5.8S ribosomal RNA, internal transcribed spacer 2, and large subunit ribosomal RNA". The stretch from base 1 to 120 matches the Rfam family "5.8S ribosomal RNA", at positions 35 to 154 of the family's 154-position model. The record is from RNAcentral.